Molecule: long non-coding RNA, 2584 nt
Organism: Anser cygnoides (Swan goose)
Lineage: Eukaryota; Metazoa; Chordata; Aves; Anseriformes; Anatidae
Source: Ensembl
GAGGAUAUGUUGACACUGAUUUAUCACUCUGCAGAUGAUGGCCAAUCUUCUCAAAAGUUACUAAUGACAUUGUGUGCCUCUGUUUCUAGCAACUCAUGAUCCAGGCUUGCAGAGCGCUCUGUGCCUGGGGUUUGCCAAAGAGCCGCAGAUGUGCAGGUGUCCCUCCCACAGCCAUUGCUUGUCUAUGGGCAGCCUCAGUCCCCAGAGAGGAGGGAUGACGGACCUCCUCAGCAGCUGAGGGUGGUUUAAUCCUUCCUGAGAUUGCUCACUAAGCAGCUGCUGGCCUGAAUCUCUGCUGCUGGUCACACACAGGUAGAGGCCUGGCAUGGCAUAGGAAUUUUUACAUUGCUUAAUACCUUUCUGCAUGACCCUCAGAUUACCGAGGGGCACACGAAACCAUUACCAAUAACAUUAAUAACAACAGGAGCAGCCAUCCCCCAGCAAACUGCAGCAUUGCCCAGGUAUUUCUGCAGAAAGCCGUUUCCAGCUGCAGGGGCAAGGGUAGCCACAGCCCCCCCAAAACACGCACACGCUGCCCCUUGCUGCCUGUGCCAUGUGCCUUUCCAGGUCUGCCAGCAGGCCCUGCUCAUGCUGGAUGGCCAAAAUGUGGAAGAUUUAGCUCUCCCCUUCCAGAAAGUGCGGGCUAGCCAGCAAGCAUGCGUAAACACCUCUCAGAAAACCCACCCCCUGGAAGUGCUCCAUCUUGCCGUGAUCAAUGAGCUGCAACGUGGUCAAAAGGGAAUGCUAUUGGAAAACAGACACCCACUGGGACAGCAGUCACUUCUUCAGCAGGCAGGAGAUGUGUGCUCAAGAGCAUCCCUGGGCCAUCCCCAUCACAGCACUGACUUCCCUGCAGUUUGCACAUCGCCCCUUCCUGGGAAAUGUGCUGUGCCAAAGCUUGUCCUGCUCGUUGCCUCAGCGCUCACCAGCCUCUCUUGACACCUCUCAGCCUUUAGGAUGUGGUGCAGCUUUCCUGAGAGAAAAUGAAACUCUUACUAUUUACCUAUUUUGAUGCCUUCCUUCCUGAAGACCUGCUUCUGUCACAUUGCCUCCAGGAAAUCCAAUCCAUACAUUAAUUGAUUUAAAAGAAAGGAGAAGGAGGAGGUGGUGUUUCCUAAUCUGCUAAGAGAGAAACCUAUUGUGCCUUUUCUCCCUUUCUAGGGGUUUGUCUCCAUAGCAAGAUGGAGGUGUGCUUAUAAAAACGUACAAGAGCAGCAAAGACGUGGUGGGACAGGCUUACAGCGUCACUGACGGGUCUCUGGAGGGCAAUUGGGUUGCUGAGCAGUUCCGAUUCCCAUACACCAUCCUUUCACUCCUCUUGUUACCCAGGCUAAGUAGAUUCAAUGAAGCAUAGAUAUGCCCCGUCAUGCUACAUUCAUGCCUGUACUUUGCUGCAGAAGCAUACUACAAGAACAACACCUGGCACAUCACGUUUAGCAAAUGGUGACAGUACAAUUCAUAAUUCACUAUUUUUUUUCUUCACUGACUAUUAGAACAGCAGUACCAUGUGUUCAAAAGAGUAAUUAUUUACCAACAUAUAAAAUGUAUCCAGACAGGCUAAGCUGGACAAAAGCUUCUUGUCCUCUGUGGCUAUUAAGAAUUUCCAAUUAACUAAGUACUUGACUGAUAAAUGCAUACAGACGUAUUUGAAUAGGUGUCUCUUUAAAAGCAACCCUACUACCCCACGGAACCCCUAGGGAAAUAAUUUAUAGUGCAAGUCUGUGGUGUGCUUUACAAUAUGCAAAAUGUUUAUAUCACAGGCUAAAAUACAGCUAAAGCUAGAACUAGCUGAAAGAAACAAAGCAAAAAAUCCUCGAAAGUUCUAACUCAGCUCACACAAAGUCUUUAGUCUUUAAUACGUAUGGAUUGUUAAAACUUGUGUUGCCAGUUUCUUACACAGACGCAGAAAGCAGAGUAACUGGAGUUGCUCUGUAUAUGUUCUGUGCUACUACUAUUACUGCUGAUAGGGAGUUCACACAGAUUUUGUUACCAAUAUAGCUGUGAAAACCUUCCGACUUUCUCUCCCCCUCUCUCUUUCCAAAUGCUAAGCUGAAUUUCCAGGUUGGGAGAAGUGCUAUGGUUCACAUUAGGUUGGUUCUGCUUCCCGGCCUGGCUGAGCCCGCUCUGUGUGGCCAGGAGGAUUAGCAGAAGUCAGUUUAAGUAAUUUUUAGAGGAAAUAGGAUGCACUGUUAAGUGAGCCUUCCGAGGCAUUUUAGCAGAAGCACAGCAGUGCUGCUGACAGGGAUAACGGCCCUGCUAAAAGGUAUGCCACAUCUUCCAAACAUGUUCAAAAUACUGAUGCAUGCAUCUCUUCUUCUUCAAUUGGCAAACACCGAUGGAAACCUUUAAAAUAAUAUUUUAUUUUCACUAACAUCCCGUUGAAGGAAAUGUGACUUAAUCUAGAGUUAUCUGCUAAUUUGGGGGAGAAAGGUUGUUUUAAUGCAUUGUAAAAUGAUCAUUUAUACUGUACUUUAGUAUUGGUUUUCUAUAAAACCCUAAAGGUCAUGUUCCUACUUACUGUAGAACUGUCUGGUGUAUAUCCAGAUUCACAAAUAGCUAAAGAAUAAAAAUUCCUUCUUUGGCA